This 253-nucleotide ribosomal RNA is filed under the name uncultured bacterium. Its description in RNAcentral is "partial 16S ribosomal RNA". It matches the Rfam family "Bacterial small subunit ribosomal RNA", at positions 524 to 776 of the family's 1533-position model. The record is from RNAcentral.
UACGUAGGGGGCAAGCGUUGUCCGGAUUUAUUGGGCGUAAAGAGCGUGUAGGCGGCCUGACAGGUCUGCUGUGAAAACUCGAGGCUCAACCUCGAGAUGUCGGCGGAAACCGUCUGGCUAGAGUCCGGAAGAGGAGAGUGGAAUUCCUGGUGUAGCGGUGAAAUGCGCAGAUAUCAGGAAGAACACCUAUGGCGAAGGCAGCUCUCUGGGACGGUACUGACGCUGAGGAGCGAAAGCAUGGGGAGCGAACAGG